Molecule: long non-coding RNA, 1313 nt
Organism: Chenopodium quinoa (quinoa)
Lineage: Eukaryota; Viridiplantae; Streptophyta; Magnoliopsida; Caryophyllales; Amaranthaceae
Exons: 4
Source: RefSeq, a predicted model, not a curated record
UUCUUCUCUCUCCUUCCGCAUCUUCUUUCUCUUUCUCCUCUUCUCUUAUCUCUUUUGUUCUUUGUUGUUGUUGUUCACGACGCCGAGGAGUAGGGUUGGUGGUGUUCUAGCCGCCGAAGAGCAUGGUUGGUGGUGUUUAAGAUGCCCACGAGCAUGGUUGGUGGUGUUCUCGUCAAUUUCUUGCCAAAUUAUAUAAAUUAAUGGUUUUUCAUGCCCACGAGCAUGGUCGAAUUUGACUUUUAAAACCCGGGUUUUGUUGGUGAAAUUCGUUAAGGAGGUGAUUAUUCCCUUGGAGACUUUUAAUUGAUUAAAAGUGGCACAAAGGAUUGUUUUACGAGCCAAUACCUAACAAAGUUAACAAGCUGGUUAGAGGAGAACCUGUUGUCAAAUUUCACCGAGGAGAGGAUAUAGAUAAGGAGUACUCCAUCUAUUUGCUACAUAUCUCCUAUGGACAUCGGGUAGAAACCACUUUGGGAAAGGAUGGAAGGCUUUCAUGGAGGAGAACGACAUACUAGUUGAAGACAAGCUUGAAACUACAUACGAGGGAAAUAACAGCUUCCAUGUGAUUGUAUUUGGAGAUGGAGUAGAGGUCCCCAAAGCCAAUGACAAUGAUAUCAUUGUUAGUCUGAUGAUAUUUCAAGUGAUGGUAUUGGCUCCCUCUCUAAUGGGAGUGCAAUUGAUUGUACUGGCCCUGAUGAGGUUGAGGAGUACCCGAAGUUCAGCGCAACGUUCACACAACCCUACAUUAAUGUGGGUAGACUGAAUGUGCCGUUGGGCUUUGCAAGAUCUCAUUUGGACCCCCUGGGGCCUAGAACUAAAGUCAAUGUAUGGAUGAAUAAGUAGCCAUCUUUUCUGUAUGUUAAAAGGAACGAGCGUUACCAGAUCAGACUUUGCAACAUAAGGGAGGGAAUAUCAAGCAUGAUAUGGGGUUAGAAAAUCAAGAUGGGGGAAGAAGUGAUGGUGCAAAUGAUCUGCAAAUCUCCUCCGGCUUUCAAGGUGACAAGGGGUACCAUAAUUUAUUUAAACAUGAGCGUUGGUUUAGGUUUGAUCAACAAAACUUUUGAUGUGUCUAUGUGUUAACUUUUUUUAACUGUGUUCAUCCAACUGUGGCACAACUUUGUAUAUGUAAUUCUGUGAACUAAUAUUUAGAUGUGCUAAACUUUUGAUGUCUUAAACUUAACAAUAAACCCCAGCUUGCAGCACAGCAGCCUGUGGUAGGAGAUGGUAGCUCUUUUGACAAAAAACUUGGAAACUUUGUAAUUACAACAGUAGCUAGCUAUUGUGUUUUAUGUUAAUCUAUGGUCAAUUUACUG